This 486-nucleotide ribosomal RNA is filed under the name uncultured bacterium. RNAcentral's name for it is "bacterial SSU rRNA". It matches the Rfam family "Bacterial small subunit ribosomal RNA", at positions 29 to 507 of the family's 1533-position model. The record is from RNAcentral.
AACGAACGCUGGCGGCGCGUUUUAAGCAUGCAAGUCGAGCGGCAAGGGUAGCAAUACCCUAGAGCGGCGGACGGGUGAGUAACACGUGGACAACCUGCCCUUAGGCGAGGGAUAGCCCAGGGAAACCUGGAUUAAUACCUUAUAAGACCACUGAUAGGAGUAUGAGUGGGGAAAGGUGCUACGGCGCCGCCUGAGGAUGGAUCUGCGUCCCAUUAGCUAGAUGGUAGGGUAAAGGCCUACCAUGGCGACGAUGGGUAGCCGGCCUGAGAGGGUGAACGGCCACACUGGAACUGAGAGACGGUCCAGACUCCUACGGGAGGCAGCAGCUAAGAAUCUUCCGCAAUGGGCGCAAGCCUGACGGAGCGACGCCGCGUGAACGAUGAAGGCCGCAAGGUUGUAAAGUUCUUUUCGGGAAGGAGAAUAAGGGGAGCAGGCAAUGGCUUUCCGAUGCCGUGAAUCCCGGAAUAAGCCCCGGCUAACUACGUG